UACAGAGGUCCCAAGCGUUGUUCGGAUUCACUGGGCGUAAAGGGUGCGUAGGUGGUUAGGUAAGUCCGAUGUGAAAUCUCCAGGCUCAACCUGGAAAUGGCAUUGGAUACUAUCUAGCUUGAGGAGUGGAGGGGGGACUGGAAUUCUCGGUGUAGCAGUGAAAUGCGUGGAUAUCGAGAGGAACACCAGUGGCGAAGGCGAGUCCCUAGACACUUCCUGACACUGAGGCACGAAAGCUAGGGGAGCAAACAGG
RNAcentral lists this ribosomal RNA (253 nucleotides) under uncultured bacterium. RNAcentral describes it as "partial 16S ribosomal RNA". It matches the Rfam family "Bacterial small subunit ribosomal RNA", at positions 524 to 776 of the family's 1533-position model. The record is from RNAcentral.